Molecule: ribosomal RNA, 425 nt
Filed under: uncultured bacterium
Lineage: Bacteria
Description: bacterial SSU rRNA
Rfam family: Bacterial small subunit ribosomal RNA
Source: RNAcentral
GGGGAAUUUUUCGCAAUGGGGGAAACCCUGACGAAGCAACGCCGCGUGGAGGAUGAAGGCCUUCGGGUCGUAAACUCCUGUCGACCGGGACGAACGUAGUCGGGUCCAAUACACCCGGCUAUCGACUGUACCGGUAAAGGAAGCUCCGGCUAACUCUGUGCCAGCAGCCGCGGUAAUACAGAGGGAGCAAGCGUUGUCCGGAGUUACUGGGCGUAAAGCGCACGCAGGCGGCACGGCAAGUGUGGUGUGAAACCCGCCGGCUUAACCGGUGGACGCCAUCGCAGACUGCCGCGCUCGAGCCGUUCAGAGGUCCCUCGAAUUGCCGGUGUAGUGGUGAAAUGCGUAGAGAUCGGCAGGAAGACCCACGGGGAAGCCAGGGGACUGGGAACGUGCUGACGCUCAGGUGCGAGAGCGUGGGGAGCGAA